GCCCAGCUGCCAGCCGCCGCUCAGAUGCAGCAGGGUCGCGCCGCCCUGCAGCGGGCUCGGGCCAUAGUUUUUCGGCAGCGCCACCAGCGGGUUUUUCUGCAGCAGCGGCAGAAAACGCAGCAGCGCCGGGCAACGCGGGCUAAACGGUUUACGGUUCGGCAGCACAUCUUUCGGAUGGCUCACCGCUUUAUAGUUAAUGCUACGUUUCUGCACGGUAAUCUGCAGAAAAAAGCCCGGUUUGUUACGGCCCGCCACCGGCGGAAUUUUCAGCGGGCUACGGUUACGACGAAUUUUCGGGCUAAACGCCGGCAGCGGGUUUUUUUAGUUGGUAAUGCUAAAAUCACGGGUUUCGCCCGGCGGGUUUUUGUUCAGCGGCACUUUGCUAUCCAGCAGGCUCGGAUAUUUGCCCGGAUGCGGCGGAAACAGACGCAGGCUCGGGCUCACGCCACGCGGCAGCAGAUGUUUCUGGCCACGCAGCUGACGCGGCGGGCUAAACGCCGGGCUUUACAGGCAAUAUUAAAUGCCCUGGUUUUCGCCGCCCAGAAAGCUGGUAUAUUUCGGGGUAUGGGUUUUACGGCCGCCCGGGGUGGUCAGGCUAAAGCCAAUAAAGCCAUCGCCACGCGGGCUCGCGCCGCCCCACAGUUAAAAAUCCAGCAGAAAAUGACGCGGCGCGCCGCCCCACAGCGGCGGGCACGGCGGUUUAAUUUUGGUAAACACCGGGCUCACUUUGCCCAGGUUCUGGCCGCCUUUAAAACGUUUGCUAAUGCUGUUGCCGCCUUUCGGAAAGCAUUAGCCACGCGGCGCCAGCGCGUUAUCUUCCGCGGUAUCCAGGCUCGGGGUAAUGCCCGGCACGCUCACCACGCCCCAGCCUUACUGGCCGCACGGUUAGGUCGGAAAUUUCAGGCUCACGCCCGGGCUCAGGCCGCUGCUCGGCGGGCUGCUGGUCAGUUCAUCAUGGCCUUUAUGGCUCGGGCUCCACACAUGUUACAGCGGUUAUUAAUACAGAUCCGCAAAGCCCGGCGGGCUCGCAAAGCCCAUAAAGCUGUUGCCGGUACGAAUCGGGGUGCCCACACGACGCCAGCUGGUGCUAAUCGCCAGAAUGGUGCUAUCCGCAUGACGCGGGCUAUAGGUGCCCGGAUCCACGCACACGCCACGUUAGCCUUUCGGGGUCGGGCCGCCACGGUUACGUUAACGCAGACGCUGGCUGCCCGCGGUGCUCGGCGGAUAAAUCAGCGGCGGCAGACGGCCCAGCGCACGCCA
This 1260-nucleotide ribosomal RNA is filed under the name uncultured bacterium. RNAcentral's name for it is "partial 16S rRNA". The record is from RNAcentral.